This 386-nucleotide ribosomal RNA is filed under the name Discocyrtus nigrosulcatus. RNAcentral describes it as "partial large subunit ribosomal RNA". The stretch from base 105 to 386 matches the Rfam family "Bacterial large subunit ribosomal RNA", at positions 2078 to 2642 of the family's 2925-position model. Lineage: Eukaryota; Metazoa; Arthropoda; Arachnida; Opiliones; Gonyleptidae. The record is from RNAcentral.
UUUUUUAAUUGAAAACUGGGAUGAAGGGUUGAAACUAAAAAGAAGGUUUUGUUCUAUUAAAUUUGAAUUUUAAUUAAAAAUAAAAAUGUUUUUAUUUAUUUCUGGGACGACAAGACCCUAGAAGCUUAAAAAUUUAAUGUUUUUUGGUUGGGGCAAUUUGUUGAAAAUUAAUAUUUUUGAUUAAAAAUUUUUUAGAAAAAAAAAGUUACUCUAGGGAUAACAGCGUUAUUUAGUUAACAAGUUCUUAUUAAUAGCUAAGUUUGCGACCUCGAUGUUGAAUUAAUUUUUAUUUUUGGUGAAGAAGCUAAAGUAAGGGGAGUCUGUUCGACUUAUAAUAUUUUACAUGAUUUGAGUUCAAACCGGUUUAAGCCAGGUCGGUUCUUAUC